Molecule: ribosomal RNA, 574 nt
Filed under: Desmoscolecidae sp. 546_4-1000_X
Lineage: Eukaryota; Metazoa; Nematoda; Chromadorea; Desmoscolecida; Desmoscolecidae
Description: eukaryotic LSU rRNA
Rfam family: Eukaryotic large subunit ribosomal RNA
Source: RNAcentral
AGAGGGCGUGAAACCGCUUAGAAGGAAACGAGAGGCGCCGCAUUUUUCCAGCGAGAUUCACCUGCUGUUUGCUGCUUUUCGGCUUCGACAGUAGGGCAUUUCUUGUUGGUACGCACCGAAAGCUGUGCUGGUUGUGGAAACGGUUCAGUAGGAGAAAGGCACUUAUAUGUGCUGCUUCCUUCGUUAUCGAGCCACAUUUCGGAAUAGCUUACAAGACGCACACGUAUUUGUGAUCAGUUGUGGUUGAUCUUUCGAUGAGACUUGUAUUUCAACUUCGUGUUGGGUGCGAGUUCUUAUUGAUUGUGAGGCUGAUUAACUGAGUUGUGUCGUUUCGGUGUGAAAGUCGGCCACCCUCCCGACCCGUCUUGAAACACGGACCAAGGAGUCUAACAUGUGCGCGAGUCACUUGGUUUGUAAAACCUAUAGGCGUAAUGAAAGUAUAGGCCGGCUUUGUCGGCUAACACACGAUCCGUGCAUGUAAACUGCGCGGCGCAGUGUGGUCCCGUCUUAGGUGCUCGUCACCGAGGCGGAGAUUGAGCGUACGUGUUGGGACCCGAAAGAUGGUGAACUAUGC